AGUGAACGCUGGCGGUAGGCCUAACACAUGCAAGUCGAACGGCAGCACAGUAAGAGCUUGCUCUUACGGGUGGCGAGUGGCGGACGGGUGAGGAAUACAUCGGAAUCUACUUUUUCGUGGGGAAUAACGUAGGGAAACUUACGCUAAUACCGCAUACGACCUACGGGUGAAAGCAGGGGAUCUUCGGACCUUGCGCGAUUGAAUGAGCCGAUGUCGGAUUAGCUAGUUGGCGGGGUAAAGGCCCACCAAGGCGACGAUCCGUAGCUGGUCUGAGAGGAUGAUCAGCCACACUGGAACUGAGACACGGUCCAGACUCCUACGGGAGGCAGCAGUGGGGAAUAUUGGACAAUGGGCGCAAGCCUGAUCCAGCCAUACCGCGUGGGUGAAGAAGGCCUGCGGGUUGUAAAGCCCUUUUGUUGGGAAAGAAAAGCAGCAGGUUAAGACCCCGCUGUUCUGACGGUACCCAAAGAAUAAGCACCGGCGAACUUCGU
RNAcentral lists this ribosomal RNA (491 nucleotides) under uncultured bacterium. RNAcentral's name for it is "partial 16S ribosomal RNA". It matches the Rfam family "Bacterial small subunit ribosomal RNA", at positions 29 to 506 of the family's 1533-position model. The record is from RNAcentral.